GAGUUUGAUCCUGGCUCAGAUUGAACGCUGGCGGCAUGCCUUACACAUGCAAGUCGAACGGCAGCACGGGAGCUUGCUCCUGGUGGCGAGUGGCGAACGGGUGAGUAAUGCAUCGGAACGUAUCCUGGAGUGGGGGAUAACGUAGCGAAAGUUACGCUAAUACCGCAUAUUCUGUGAGCAGGAAAGCGGGGGACCUUCGGGCCUCGCGCUCUUGGAGCGGCCGAUGUCGGAUUAGCUAGUUGGUGAGGUAAAGGCUCACCAAGGCGACGAUCCGUAGCAGGUCUGAGAGGAUGAUCUGCCACACUGGAACUGAGACACGGUCCAGACUCCUACGGGAGGCAGCAGUGGGAAUUUUGGACAAUGGGGGCAACCCUGAUCCAGCCAUGCCGCGUGAGUGAAGAAGGCCUUCGGUU
This 413-nucleotide ribosomal RNA is filed under the name bacterium enrichment culture clone ALO1_GLFRUDD03GEY91. RNAcentral describes it as "bacterial SSU rRNA". It matches the Rfam family "Bacterial small subunit ribosomal RNA", at positions 9 to 423 of the family's 1533-position model. The record is from RNAcentral.